RNAcentral lists this unclassified non-coding RNA (167 nucleotides) under uncultured fungus. Its description in RNAcentral is "sequence contains ITS1". The record is from RNAcentral. Lineage: Eukaryota; Fungi.
AAAGGUUUGGGGCCCUAGGGCCCCGACUCCAACCCUCUGUUUACCCUAUAACCGUUGCUUUGGCGGGCCGGGUACCCAUCCCGCCGGCCUUUGGGCUGGAGAGCGCCCGCCAGAGGACUCUUAAAACCCAACUUACCGGUGCCCUCUGAGUACUUGAGAAUUGAACA